RNAcentral lists this transfer RNA (89 nucleotides) under Desulfobacteraceae bacterium. RNAcentral describes it as "tRNA-Leu". It matches the Rfam family "tRNA". From Rfam's summary of the family: Transfer RNA (tRNA) molecules are approximately 80 nucleotides in length. Their secondary structure includes four short double-helical elements and three loops (D, anti-codon, and T loops). The record is from RNAcentral. Lineage: Bacteria; Pseudomonadati; Thermodesulfobacteriota; Desulfobacteria; Desulfobacterales; Desulfobacteraceae.
GCCUGGAUGGCGGAAUAGGUAGACGCAAGGGACUUAAAAUCCCUCGUUCUGUAAAGGACGUGCCGGUUCGAUUCCGGCUCCAGGCACCA